GCGGGGGUUGCCAAGCUUGGCCAAAAGGCGCAGGGUUCAGGUCCCUGUCUCGUAGGAGUCCGCGCGUUCAAAUCGCGCCCCCCGCACCA
RNAcentral lists this transfer RNA (89 nucleotides) under Candidatus Heimdallarchaeota archaeon. Its description in RNAcentral is "tRNA-Leu". Lineage: Archaea; Promethearchaeati; Candidatus Heimdallarchaeota. The record is from RNAcentral.